AUUGAACGCUGGCGGCAGGCCUAACACAUGCAAGUCGAGCGGAUGAAGGGAGCUUGCUCCUGGAUUCAGCGGCGGACGGGUGAGUAAUGCCUAGGAAUCUGCCUGGUAGUGGGGGAUAACGUCCGGAAACGGGCGCUAAUACCGCAUACGUCCUGAGGGAGAAAGUGGGGGAUCUUCGGACCUCACGCUAUCAGAUGAGCCUAGGUCGGAUUAGCUAGUUGGUGGGGUAAAGGCCUACCAAGGCGACGAUCCGUAACUGGUCUGAGAGGAUGAUCAGUCACACUGGAACUGGGACACGGACCAGACUCCUACGGGAGGCAGCAGUGGGGAAUAGUGGACAAUGGGCGAAAGCCUGAUCCAGCCAUGCCGAGUGUGUGAAGAAGGUCUUCGGAUUGUAAAGCACGUUAAGUUGGGAGGAAGGGCAGUAAGUUAAUACCUUGCUGUUUUGACGUUACCAACAGAAUAAGCACCGGCUAACUACGUG
Molecule: ribosomal RNA, 484 nt
Filed under: uncultured bacterium
Lineage: Bacteria
Description: partial 16S ribosomal RNA
Rfam family: Bacterial small subunit ribosomal RNA
Source: RNAcentral